CCUACGUGAGGCAGCAGUAGGGAAUAUUGCUCAAUGGGGGAAACCCUGAAGCAGCAACGCCGCGUGGAGGAUUCAGGUUUUCGGAUUGUAAACUCCUUUUGUUAGAGAAGAUAAUGACGGUAUCUAACGAAUAAGCACCGUCUAACUCCGUACCAGCAGCCGCGGUAAUACGGAGGGUGCAAGCGUUACUCGGAAUCACUGGGCGUAAAGAACGAGUAGGCGGGAUAGCAAGUCAGAUGUGAAAUCCUAUGGCUUAACCAUAGAAAUGCAUUUGAAACUGUUAUUCUAGAGUAUGGGAGAGGUAGGUGGAAUUCUUGGUGUAGGGGUAAAAUCCGUAGAGAUCAAGAGGAAUACUCAUUGCGAAGGCGACCUGCUAGAACAUAACUGACGCUGAUGCGAGAAAGCGUGGGGAGCAAACAGGAUUAGAUACCCGAGUAGUC
This 440-nucleotide ribosomal RNA is filed under the name uncultured bacterium. Its description in RNAcentral is "partial 16S ribosomal RNA". It matches the Rfam family "Bacterial small subunit ribosomal RNA", at positions 338 to 795 of the family's 1533-position model. The record is from RNAcentral.